UACGUAGGGUGCAAGCGUUAAUCGGAAUUACUGGGCGUAAAGCGUGCGCAGGCGGUGAUGUAAGACAGUUGUGAAAUCCCCGGGCUCAACCUGGGAACUGCAUCUGUGACUGCAUCGCUGGAGUACGGUAGAGGGGGAUGGAAUUCCGCGUGUAGCAGUGAAAUGCGUAGAUAUGCGGAGGAACACCGAUGGCGAAGGCAGGUCUCUGGGCCACUACUGGACG
RNAcentral lists this ribosomal RNA (223 nucleotides) under uncultured bacterium. RNAcentral describes it as "partial 16S ribosomal RNA". It matches the Rfam family "Bacterial small subunit ribosomal RNA", at positions 524 to 745 of the family's 1533-position model. The record is from RNAcentral.